Long non-coding RNA from Gorilla gorilla gorilla (western lowland gorilla), 511 nucleotides. RefSeq lists it as uncharacterized. NCBI's taxonomy places the organism in Eukaryota, Metazoa, Chordata, Mammalia, Primates, Hominidae. The record is from RefSeq and is a predicted model, not a curated record. The transcript is spliced from 2 exons.
GCACUGAGAAGCUGAAUCAGCGCGAUACUCAGAUCAACCUCGGUCUCUCUGGCUGGAUAUUUAUCGGGUUCUGCCUGAAAGGCCGUCUAACGCCUUUCCUCUUGGAAAAGUUGCAGGAACAGAAUCUUGUUCUGUUGCCCAGGCUGCUCUUGAACUCUUGGCUUCAAGAGAUCCUCUUGCCUUGGCCUCCGAAAGUGCUGGGAUGAAUCUCUGUCAUGGUGGCAUGAGCCACCAUGCCCGGCCCAGAUCCUGAAUUCUAGCAGGACAGCUCAUGCCCACCAGUCUGAAGACACCAAAAGGAGAACUGACUCAAUGCAAGAAUGCAAUUUCUUUAGUUCCAUGACGUCACCCUUCAUUCUUCAACCAAUCAGUGAUCCUUAUACCUUGGCCCACUAACCAUCCAAACCCCUUAGAAUCCCUAGAUCCUAAACUCCUUGAGGAGGUGGAUUUGAGGUUUCCUCCAGUCUCCUUGUUUGGCUGCCUUGUGAUUAAACCUCUUUCUCUGCUGCAA